GAAAACCCGGAGGCUGGAGAGAUCCCACACCCAUCAUUGGAGGAACCUGAGAACAUUUACAGGGAUUUACUUCAGAUUUUAAAUGGCUCUGACCGGCCGUUGUGGGUGAGUUCCUCCUGGAGGCCGAGAGUAUUCCUCAAUCCACUCCACUCUGGAAAAGACCGACGCCACACAGACGCGUUAAAAAGCAGACUGGAGUCUUUACCUGGUGAUAAGGUGUCUGCAUCCAGGACACCUCCUUCUUUGAGCUCCUCCAACUGAGCCUC
Molecule: long non-coding RNA, 266 nt
Organism: Pseudoliparis swirei
Lineage: Eukaryota; Metazoa; Chordata; Actinopteri; Perciformes; Liparidae
Exons: 3
Source: RefSeq, a predicted model, not a curated record